GUCGAUCUGGAAGAAAAAGGAAACGUUAGUUUUCCACUUCCAUGCGGAGGGGAAGAGGAAGAAAGCUUCCUCCAUUGCACUAUUGAGGACCUAAUUUAAGCCAGAAAGAAAGGAAAAUCUGAUGGAAGCCUUUUAAACUAGAUCUACAUAAGGAACAAUUCACCCAGACUCGUUAGGAGAAUCCCAAGAGCCAGAUUUCGCCUCAGCAGUAUUACAACUGGAAAGGAAGAUGCACCAGCCAUAUGUUACUCAGCACAGCUCCCACCCUUUGAUCGCUUUGCACCAUAUACACACAUUAUGCCUUGCAUUGCUUCUUGAAGAUUUUGCACAAGAACUCCCCUCACCACCACCUAAGGGCUUUUUGGACGCUGGAAAUUUCAGCAAGAGAAUGGCCACCAGUAGGAAGGUGAGACUAACCUUUAAAGUAACACUCCAUAGAAAAGAAGUUCUCCUUUAAAAGGUGUCAAGACUACCUUGGUUUCUCUAUUUUCACCUACCCCCUGGCCUUAAAAACCAUCCAGUCCUAACUUCCUUCUUUGUUGAGGGCUACAGCAAGAUCCUGAGGGGAUCUGGAUGGUGACCACACAGUUUGACACUAGAGCUGCAGCUUAAUGGAGGGAGAAGGGUGGAGUUUUAGAAGCAGAAUUUGUCAAAGCCCUGGAAAGAAGUCUGUGUUAUGCAAUGCACUUUUAAAGGAUGAAGGAAAGAUGGUCACCUCCCUGCUGGUGCUCCCCAGAGGCUAUAUUUGCAUUGGCCAAGCUAGGCCCAUACUUCACCACUAGUGCAGUUCCACAAGUGGUAGCAAUGGUGGAAGCUGUAGACAGAGCUGUUUGUAUCACUCAUCUAACCAUGCUCACGCCAUAACUUCCAUUAUUGCUUCAGUUACCAAAGCUGCACUAACGGAGACCCACAGGCCCCAACUUUGCCAGCGCUGGAUCCUUCAUUUAUGAUGCAGGUACUAAUAGAAACUCUGUCACAAGCCAGCUGUCUGUACUGCUAAAUAUUCACCAGCAGGACUAACCCAAAUGCUGCAUUAAUCCAACAGUUUGACUUCAGAUGCAGUUUGUAUAUGGCAGAAAGCACUUCCCACCAUGUGAUUCUGUGAUGCUUACUGCCUGUGGACAGUGACCCACAGAACAUCAAUUCUGCAAGGUUACCAGGUGGUGAUUUUCAAUGGAUCCCCAACGUAGCAGUCAGAUAACUGGGCAACUGACACUAACAGUACCUUUCUUCUGACUCAUGGAAUAUACCUACUGCUUCCAGAGAUCCAUGAAGCAACCAUGAAAGAGAAGAUAAUACAUUUAGGUAGACUAUUACAAAGCGCACACACGGUGUUUAUAAAUGAAAACAACUCUGGGGAGUGACACUUCCUGGAAGUCAGAAGGCAGCCUACACAAUCAAUCAUACUUCCUGUUUUUAUUACCCUUGGCAUCCUGUCAGCUCUGGGACCCCCUCUCAGGGUUCAAGUAGUGCUUCCCCCCCUCCCGGAGGUUACACCUGCCCAGACACCAUCUUUCCUCCUACUGCUGGCAAGGAGCUUUUCAUCUGACACUGUUACAGUGUAAAACUAAGAGUUAAACUAAGUUUGUUCUUGGAGUCUUUAUUCUAAACAUUGAGGCACAGGGAAAUAGCUGGAGCAUGAAUUCCAAAAUCUGAUUAAUUUAGAGCAUUUCUCAUUCAUUGCCUGGUGCAUUUUAGAGAAACUAACUUGAAGUCUUUCAGUUCUCAGGUGAGAAUCUCACCAGCUGGAUGCAUGAGCUCACCAUUGGCUUCAGGCAUUCAAGAUACAGAUGAGUGCUGAGUGAUUUUAUGAGUGUUGAGGUGACAUUAGUAGAUUUGAGGUGUGUUUUGGCAACCAAUCCAAUAGAAUACAAGAAACCUUCAAUCUCUCCCUCCUCUCACACGCACAAGAAUUAAGCUAUUUGCUUUGGCACCUUUGAGAUUUACUGUGCACAGCCUUUGGGUGGUGGCAGACACUAGCAUUCUUGUGGCUGGGUGUGGUUUCCAAGCCUGGAGUGAAGAUAACUGGGUUUUGUUUCAUUCAC
Long non-coding RNA from Dermochelys coriacea (leatherback sea turtle), 2045 nucleotides. RefSeq lists it as uncharacterized. Lineage: Eukaryota; Metazoa; Chordata; Testudines; Dermochelyidae. The record is from RefSeq and is a predicted model, not a curated record. The transcript has 2 exons.